CCCAGCGUGGCUUAGUGGCUUGAGUCCUGGACUGUGACUCUGGGGAGCAGGGUUCGAAUCCCCCCUCGGG
Molecule: non-coding RNA, 70 nt
Organism: Phrynosoma platyrhinos (Desert horned lizard)
Lineage: Eukaryota; Metazoa; Chordata; Lepidosauria; Squamata; Phrynosomatidae
Source: the annotation of a GenBank genome assembly